RNAcentral lists this ribosomal RNA (254 nucleotides) under uncultured bacterium. RNAcentral describes it as "partial 16S ribosomal RNA". It matches the Rfam family "Bacterial small subunit ribosomal RNA", at positions 524 to 776 of the family's 1533-position model. The record is from RNAcentral.
UACGUAGGGUGCGAGCGUUGUCCGGAAUUAUUGGGCGUAAAGAGCUCGUAGGCGGUGUGUCGCGUCGGUCGUGAAAACUUGGGGCUUAACUCUGAGCUUGCGGUCGAUACGGGCAUCACUUGAGUUCGGCAGGGGAGACUGGAAUUCCUGGUGUAGCGGUGAAAUGCGUAGAUAUCUGGAGGAAUACCGGUGGCGAAGGCGGCAUCCUGGACCGAGAUUGACGCUGAUGAGCGAAAGCUAGGGGAGCAAACGGG